Long non-coding RNA from Maniola jurtina (meadow brown), 77 nucleotides. RefSeq lists it as uncharacterized. The transcript is spliced from 3 exons. Lineage: Eukaryota; Metazoa; Arthropoda; Insecta; Lepidoptera; Nymphalidae. The record is from RefSeq and is a predicted model, not a curated record.
UUCGCAGUUUAUAAUAUACCUUUAGUUCGUGACAGGUCGAGAUGGCAAUCGGGCUCUGAGAUGAGUCGUGGAGGAGA